ACGCAAGCACGCACACACGCACUCCCAAGUAUAGGACCAAGCCGAAACAGGGUGGCAGAUACCUUGUAUUUAAGAGGAGAAUGAAUUUUAAAGCUACUUCAAAGGCCACUCAUUAGUCCAAAUGACGCACUAGCUGACGAUGACUCUGGGAUAUUAAUCGGGCUUGCCGACCUCAUCGUGCUCUAAGAAACCAAGACUUGAGGUCUUGAAUUCUAGUUUCAACACUUUGCGGACAGCGUUGAAUGGUCCUGCUACGGGACUCUGUAGCCAGAGCAGCGGAUGACGCAUCGUCACGCCCCCUGUCAGUACGUCCUGGUUGGAGCUAAGCACAGACUGUACUCUGCGCUGUUAACAGGGACUGCAGGCUGUGCCAGAGGUUCAUCUGCCAGCAGCUGAUUGAUGGGAUAAACAGAAGAGAGUGCAAGACAGACACGCCUUGCUUCUGCCUUUGGCAGGUGGUAAUCAAUCUACCAGCUUCCCAGAGGAAAAGACCCCGAACCUUGAAAUGGAGGAGGAGCCUCUCCCGCCAAGAUCUUAGCUGCGACACAAGAUCUCCUAUACUCAGGGGGAAAGCCACCGUGGGUCAGAGUGUGUUCUCCAAGGGUGGCGACGAAACCCCUUUUUAAAAAAUGUAUGUGGCUCCCGUGGAGGCAUUACUGUCCUCGGGUAUUUCUUGAGGUCUUCUUCCCUCCAGUGCCGGCUUUGUUUACUUAAAACUUCUUCUACAUUUUCUUUUCUGACCUCCCGCAUCUUUGGACUCUGUGGCCCAGUAGGCGUAUGUCUGACAGAACAGUAGACCCAGUCCGGGAAACACCUGAGUAUUUUCUUGUUCUGUAGAGGCUGGAAGUCCCCGCCACAGCUGCUGCCAGGUCCAGUUUCUGGUGAGCUCUGUUCUUGUACCUUGCAGACAGCCACCUUGUUCUGCGUGCGCUCACGGUUUUUCUUAUGUAAACAAAGAGAAGGAU
This 965-nucleotide long non-coding RNA is filed under the name Rattus norvegicus (Norway rat). RNAcentral describes it as "long non-coding RNA NONRATT017706". Lineage: Eukaryota; Metazoa; Chordata; Mammalia; Rodentia; Muridae. The record is from RNAcentral.